GAACGCUUGCUGCAUGCUUUAUACAUGCAAGUCGAACGGAGGCCCUAGCUUGCUAGGUGUCCUUAGUGGCGCACGGGUGAGUAACACGUGGGAACAUACCUCAUAGUACGGAAUAACUGCGGGAAACUGUAGCUAAUACCGUAUAUUCCAGUAAUGGGAAAGAUUUAUCGCUAUGAGAUUGGCCCGCGCAAGAUUAGCUUGUUGGUGAGGUAAUGGCUCACCAAGGCUCCGAUCUUUAGCUGGUUUGAGAGGACGAUCAGCCACACUGGGACUGAGACACGGCCCAGACUCCUACGGGAGGCAGCAGUAGGGAAUAUUGGACAAUGGGGGAAACCCUGAUCCAGCAAUGCAGCGUGAGUGACGAAGGCCUUAGGGUUGUAAAACUCUUUCAUCGGUGAGGAUAAUG
This 406-nucleotide ribosomal RNA is filed under the name uncultured Alphaproteobacteria bacterium. RNAcentral's name for it is "bacterial SSU rRNA". It matches the Rfam family "Bacterial small subunit ribosomal RNA", at positions 31 to 453 of the family's 1533-position model. Lineage: Bacteria; Pseudomonadati; Pseudomonadota; Alphaproteobacteria. The record is from RNAcentral.